RNAcentral lists this ribosomal RNA (253 nucleotides) under uncultured bacterium. RNAcentral describes it as "partial 16S ribosomal RNA". It matches the Rfam family "Bacterial small subunit ribosomal RNA", at positions 524 to 776 of the family's 1533-position model. The record is from RNAcentral.
UACGGAAGGUGCGAGCGUUAUCCGGUUUUAUUGGGUUUAAAGGGUGCGUAGGCGGCAUACUAAGUCAGUUGUGAAAUCCUAGUGCUUAACACUAGAACUGCGAUUGAUACUGGUAUGCUUGAGUCAAGAAGAGGUAAGUAGAAUUUAUGGUGUAGUAGUGAAAUGCUUAGAUAUCAUAAGGAAUACCAAUAGCGAAGGCAGCUUACUGGUCUUGAACUGACGCUGAGGCACGAAAGCGUGGGGAGCAAACAGG